This 494-nucleotide ribosomal RNA is filed under the name uncultured bacterium. RNAcentral's name for it is "partial 16S ribosomal RNA". It matches the Rfam family "Bacterial small subunit ribosomal RNA", at positions 28 to 507 of the family's 1533-position model. The record is from RNAcentral.
GACGAACGCUGGCGGCGUGCUUAACACAUGCAAGUCGAACGGAAAGGCCUGCUUUCCCUUGUGGAUUGCGGGUACUCGAGUGGCGAACGGGCGAGUAACACGUGAGUGAUCUGCCCCCAACUUGGGUAUAAGCCUGGGAAACUGGGUCUAAUUCCCGAUAGGACUGCAGGGUGGUGCCUGUGGUGGAAAACGAUUUUCUAGUGGUUGGGGAUGAGCUCGCGGCCUAUCAGCUUGUUGGUGGGGUAAUGGCCUACCAAGGCGGCGACGGGUAGCCGGCCUGGGAGGGUGGACGGCCACAUUGGGACUGAGAUACGGCCCAGACUCCUACGGGAGGCAGCAGUGGGGAAUAUUGCACAAUGGGCGGAAGCCUGAUGCAGCGACGCCGCGUGGGGGAUGACGGCCUUCGGGUUGUAAACUCCUUUCGACCGCGAGGAAGCCACCUGGUUGGAAGGGUGGUGACGGUAGUGGUAGAAGAAGCACCGGCUAACUACGUG